UGUUGCAGAUUUGGAGUUAACACUUCCAGGUUCUGACGAAAAGACUAAAGAAUCUGAAGAAGCAGAAAAGGAAACCUCAUAAGCACCUGAAGUUACAAUCAAUAAGAAAAGCCCAAGAAAUAAACAAAAUGUUUUUGAAGAAUUGAUUAUGGGAAACAAGAACGAACUUGUCAAAACAAGAUCAACAUUCAAAGGUUAUGAAGAAAUACUUAUGGGACUAGUA
Molecule: long non-coding RNA, 223 nt
Filed under: Lathyrus oleraceus (garden pea)
Lineage: Eukaryota; Viridiplantae; Streptophyta; Magnoliopsida; Fabales; Fabaceae
Description: Pisum sativum (pea) long non-coding RNA (PSAT_LNC011912)
Source: RNAcentral